AAGCGAGUACACAUAAUGUCCGUACCGCAAACCGACACAGGUAGGCGAGGAGAGGAUCCUCAGGUGUUCGAGCUAACCCGGGUUAAGGAACUAGGCAAAAUGGUCCCGUAACUUAGGGAUAAGGGACGCCCGGUCUGGUGACGGUGUACAACCUGAGCCGGGCUGGGCCGCAGAGAAAUGGCCUGGGCGACUGUUUACUAAAAACACACAUCUCUGCCAAGUCGUAAGACGACGUAUAGGGACUGACACCUGCCCGGUGCUGGAGCGUUAAGGGGAGAGGUCAGAAUACGCCUAACCGUGUAUUCGAAGCUUUGAACCGAAGCCCCAGUAAACGGCGGCCGUAACUAUAACGGUCCUAAGGUAGCGAAAUUCCUUGUCGGGUAAGUUCCGACCCGCACGAAUGGUGUAACGAUUUGGGCACUGUCUCAACCCGGGGCUCGGCGAAAUUGCAGUAGCGGUGAAGAUACCGUUUUCCCGUGGAAGGACAGAAAGACCCCGUGGACCUUUACUGCAGCUUGAUAUUGGGUUCCGCCGUGGCGUGUGUAGGAUAGGCGGGAGACUUUGAAGCCUGGUCGCCAGAUCAGGUGGAGUCAACGUUGAAAUACCGUCCUCGUUUCGUUGGAACUCUAACACGGGUCCGUGAUCCGGAUCGUGGACAGUGUCUGGUGGGCAGUUUGACUGGGGUGGUCGCCUCCCAAAAAGUAACGGAGGCGCCCAAAGGUUCCCUCAGCGCGGUCGGUAAUCGCGCGUCGAGUGCAAAGGCACAAGGGAGCUUGGCUGCGAGACGGACAGGUCGAGCAGGUACGAAAGUAGGGCUUAGUGAUCCUGCGGUCCCGAGUGGAAGGGCCGUGGCUCAACGGAUAAAAGGUACCCCGGGGAUAACAGGCUGAUCGCCACCGAGAGUUCACAUCGACGUGGCGGUUUGGCACCUCGAUGUCGGCUCAAUGCAUCCUGGGGCUGAACAAGGUCCCAAGGGUUCGUCUGUUCGCCGAUUAAAGCGUUACGCGAGCUGGGUUUAGAACGUCGUGAGACAGUUCGGUCUCUAUCCUCCACGGGUGUAGGAAGCUUGAGGGGAUCUGUCUUCAGUACGAGAGGACCGAGACGGACGCACCUCUAGUGUACCAGUUGUCCCGCCAGGGGCACCGCUGGGUAGCUUCGUGCGGACCAGGAUAAGCGCUGAAAGCAUCUAAGUGCGAAACCGGCCCCAAAACUAGGCUUCCCGACCGAAAGGUCCUCAAGGCCACUCGGAGAUUACGAGUUUGAUAGGCCGCAGGUGUAAGCACAGUAAUGUGUUCAGCCGAGCGGU
This 1306-nucleotide ribosomal RNA is filed under the name metagenome. RNAcentral's name for it is "bacterial LSU rRNA". It matches the Rfam family "Bacterial large subunit ribosomal RNA", at positions 1623 to 2899 of the family's 2925-position model. The record is from RNAcentral.